Molecule: transfer RNA, 58 nt
Filed under: Podarcis lilfordi (Lilford's wall lizard)
Lineage: Eukaryota; Metazoa; Chordata; Lepidosauria; Squamata; Lacertidae
Description: tRNA.Ser
Source: RNAcentral
GCUGGGUAGCUCAGUUAGUAGAGCACGAGGGUCGUGGGUUCGAGCCCCAGGUUAGGCG